RNAcentral lists this ribosomal RNA (497 nucleotides) under uncultured bacterium. Its description in RNAcentral is "partial 16S ribosomal RNA". It matches the Rfam family "Bacterial small subunit ribosomal RNA", at positions 28 to 507 of the family's 1533-position model. The record is from RNAcentral.
GAUGAACGCUGGCGGCGUGCCUAAUACAUGCAAGUCGAGCGAACAGACGAGGAGCUUGCUCCUCUGACGUUAGCGGCGGACGGGUGAGUAACACGUGGAUAACCUACCUUUAAGACUGGGAUAACUUCGGGAAACCGGAGCUAAUACCGGAUAAUAUAUUGAACCGCAUGGUUCAAUAGUGAAAGACGGUUUUGCUGUCUCUUAUAGAUGGAUCCGCGCCGCAUUAGCUAGUUGGUAAGGUAACGGCUUACCAAGGCAACGAUGCGUAGCCGACCUGAGAGGGUGAUCGGCCACACUGGAACUGAGCCACGGUCCAGACUCCUACGGGAGGCAGCAGUAGGGAAUCUUCCGCAAAGGGCGAAAGCCUGACGGAGCAACGCCGCGUGAGUGAUGAAGGUCUUCGGAUCGUAAAACUCUGUUAUUAGGGAAGAACAAAUGUGUAAGUAACUAUGCACGUCUUGACGGUACCUAAUCAGAAAGCCACGGCUAACUACGUG